Mus musculus (house mouse) is the source of this 140-nucleotide non-coding RNA. The record is from Rfam. Lineage: Eukaryota; Metazoa; Chordata; Mammalia; Rodentia; Muridae.
UUCUCUGGCAACAGGCAAAGAGACACCUUGUUGGUAUUCUUCUUACAUUAGUCGUGGGAAGAACUGAUGGCAGUCCUUUGUUCAUCCUAGCUUGACAUCUGGCUUGGUGGACAAAGCUGUCUUAUGCCUAGGACACAUAA